RNAcentral lists this ribosomal RNA (400 nucleotides) under uncultured bacterium. RNAcentral's name for it is "bacterial SSU rRNA". It matches the Rfam family "Bacterial small subunit ribosomal RNA", at positions 356 to 773 of the family's 1533-position model. The record is from RNAcentral.
GGGGAAUAUUGGACAAUGGGGGCAACCCUGAUCCAGCCAUGCCGCGUGAGUGAUGAAGGCCUUAGGGUUGUAAAGCUCUUUCGCUAGGGAAGAUAAUGACGGUACCUAGAGAAGAAGCCCCGGCUAACUUCGUGCCAGCAGCCGCGGUAAUACGAAGGGGGCUAGCGUUGUUCGGAAUUACUGGGCGUAAAGCGCACGUAGGCGGACAUUUAAGUCAGGGGUGAAAUCCCAGGGCUCAACCCUGGAACUGCCUUUGAUACUGGGUGUCUUGAGUACGAGAGAGGUGAGUGGAAUUCCGAGUGUAGAGGUGAAAUUCGUAGAUAUUCGGAAGAACACCAGUGGCGAAGGCGGCUCACUGGCUCGUAACUGACGCUGAGGUGCGAAAGCGUGGGGAGCAAAC